UGGGGAAUAUUGCACAAUGGGCGCAAGCCUGAUGCAGCCAUGCCGCGUGUUUGAAGAAGGCCUUCGGGUUGUAAAGUACUUUCAGUCGGGAGGAAGGUGGUAAGGUUAAUAACCUUAUCAAUUGACGUUACCGACAGAAGAAGCACCGGCUAACUCCGUGCCAGCAGCCGCGGUAAUACGGAGGGUGCAAGCGUUAAUCGGAAUUACUGGGCGUAAAGCGCACGCAGGCGGUCUGUCAAGUCGGAUGUGAAAUCCCCGGGCUCAACCUGGGAACUGCAUUCGAAACUGGCAGGCUAGAGUCUUGUAGAGGGGGGUAGAAUUCCAGGUGUAGCGGUGAAAUGCGUAGAGAUCUGGAGGAAUACCGGUGGCGAAGGCGGCCCCCUGGACAAAGACUGACGCUCAGGUGCGAAAGCGUGGGGAGCAAACAGG
Molecule: ribosomal RNA, 429 nt
Filed under: Chloroflexota bacterium
Lineage: Bacteria; Bacillati; Chloroflexota
Description: Chloroflexi bacterium partial 16S ribosomal RNA
Rfam family: Bacterial small subunit ribosomal RNA
Source: RNAcentral